CACAAAGUCCCCUUGAAAAGCUUAUGAGGAGACACUGCUAAGGGCUCCGGGAGGACUGGAGGACAUGCCCCAGAGAGGUCCUGCUUUUCAGCCCAAGAUUGAAGACUAAGAUUGAAGAAGACAUGGAAAUCAGUUGAGAGUUGGACAUGCAACAUAAGAAAUAAUCCAUUGUGAAUAGAAUGCCUUCAGGACUCCCAUCUCCCUGCAGAGUGAACUUAACUUCUAUGAACACGACGACAGCCCAUGGCCAGACUCCCCUACCUGGAGUCCACACCCCAACUCCCUGUUUUCACCAAGAGAGAAAAAGAAAGCCUCUUCUUCACCAAGUGAAUGUUGGAAGAAUUUCUGCAGUAAGCUGUAGCUGUCUGCCCACCAGGAAGACAGUCUUCUAUAUUAGCAUUAACCUAUGAAUAAACAGCACUUGACAUUGAAAAUUGCCACAUUAAGUACCCAGCUCCUCUGCCCAAUUACAGCAGCCCACAGAGUUCUUCCAAAUUGUCACCUAGGAAGAAUAUGACAGCAAACAAUGCUUUAAAAGUAAGUAAUCUGCUCUAUAAUUAUUUUAGCGGCUGCAACUGCCAACCAGCAGGAUCACUUAUGAAAAAGGACGCAGUCGCUCCUUAUUAAAAAUGCAUGAAUAUACAGUCUCUUGAUUGUAGAAAUAAUCAGCAGACUAUCUAAUGUAAGAAGACGUAGACACAGAAGAAUUAAUUAGGGUGAAAUUGAUUAAGAAGAAGAGGGUAAAAAUCUAUCUGUGAUGAUUCAAGCUCCGAUUAAACUCAAGCAUUAAUUCUCACAUUCUUUUCAAAUUUAAGACUCAUCUAAAUGUUCCACAUUAAUAUUCCAACAUACCUCACCCUUCCUUUUCCAAAUAGAAAUGCAGGCGUUUCUAAUGAUAUCUAAAGACUAUGUUCUUGUUGACUAGAAAACCCCCGUCUUAAGGAUUUGGGAAGGUUAGAGUUUUCAUUAUUAUUUUAAAUAAAAGACAGCAUGGCAGGAGACUGGGAGAGUCGAAAUGCCCACAUUCAUUCUGGUCUGAAGCACUUAAAACGUCCAUUAGAUUUCUCAAAAACUAAAGGAAGGGUGCAACAC
This is a long non-coding RNA of Talpa occidentalis (Iberian mole), 1092 nucleotides long. RefSeq lists it as uncharacterized. NCBI's taxonomy places the organism in Eukaryota, Metazoa, Chordata, Mammalia, Eulipotyphla, Talpidae. The transcript has 4 exons. The record is from RefSeq and is a predicted model, not a curated record.